Molecule: ribosomal RNA, 218 nt
Filed under: uncultured bacterium
Lineage: Bacteria
Description: partial 16S ribosomal RNA
Rfam family: Bacterial small subunit ribosomal RNA
Source: RNAcentral
UAACCUACCUCUCAGUGAGGAAUACCGGCGAGAAAUCGCCGACAAUACCGCAUGCGCUUGUCUUCGUGAGGGAGAGAAGCAAAGUCUCGCGCAAGUGAGACGCUGGGAGAUGGGCCCGCGCCCGAUUAGCUGGUUGGUGGGGUAACGGCCUACCAAGGCGACGAUCGGUAGCUGGUCUGAGAGGACGAUCAGCCACACUGGGAUUGAGAACGGCCCAG